RNAcentral lists this transfer RNA (77 nucleotides) under Flavobacteriia bacterium. Its description in RNAcentral is "tRNA-Met". It matches the Rfam family "tRNA". From Rfam's summary of the family: Transfer RNA (tRNA) molecules are approximately 80 nucleotides in length. Their secondary structure includes four short double-helical elements and three loops (D, anti-codon, and T loops). Further hydrogen bonds mediate the characteristic L-shaped molecular structure. tRNAs have two regions of fundamental functional importance: the anti-codon, which is responsible for specific mRNA codon recognition, and the 3' end, to which the tRNAs corresponding amino acid is attached (by aminoacyl-tRNA synthetases). tRNAs cope with the degeneracy of the genetic code in two manners: having more than one tRNA (with a specific anti-codon) for a particular amino acid; and 'wobble' base-pairing, i.e. permitting non-standard base-pairing at the 3rd anti-codon position. Lineage: Bacteria; Pseudomonadati; Bacteroidota; Flavobacteriia. The record is from RNAcentral.
GGCGGCGUAGCUCAGCCGGAUAGAGUGCACGGUUCAUACCCGUGAGGUCGAGGGUUCGAUUCCCCCCGCCGCUACCA